This 500-nucleotide ribosomal RNA is filed under the name uncultured Glomeromycotina. RNAcentral's name for it is "partial small subunit ribosomal RNA". It matches the Rfam family "Eukaryotic small subunit ribosomal RNA", at positions 591 to 1092 of the family's 1831-position model. Lineage: Eukaryota; Fungi; Glomeromycota. The record is from RNAcentral.
CCAAUCGCGUAUAUUAAAGUUGUUGCAGUUAAAAAGCUCGUAGUUGAAUUUUGGGUCUGGCCGGGCGGUCCGCCCUCCGGGUGAGUACUGUUCCGACGCCGGGCCUAUCCUUCUGGAGAGUCGGCAUGUCCUUUGUUGGGUGUGCCGGGGAACCAGGACCAUUACCUUGAAAAAAUUAGAGUGUUCAAAGCAGGCGUAUGCUCGGAUACAUUAGCAUGGAAUAAUGAAAUAGGACGCGUGGUGCUAUUUUGUUGGUUUCUAGAACCGCCGUAAUGAUUAAUAGGGAUAGUUGGGGGCAUUAGUAUUCAAUUGUCAGAGGUGAAAUUCUUGGAUUUAUUGAAGACUAACUUCUGCGAAAGCAUUUGCCAAGGAUGUUUUCAUUAAUCAAGAACGAAAGUUAGGGGAUCGAAGACGAUCAGAUACCGUCGUAGUCUUAACCAUAAACUAUGCCGACUAGGAAUCGGGCGAUGUUAUUCUCAUGACUCGCCCGGCGCCUUAUG